GGAUUGUGGCUCAGUGGUAGAGCGCUCGCCUAGUGCGUGCAGGACCCAGGUUCGAUUCUUAGCACCA
This 67-nucleotide transfer RNA is filed under the name Marmota monax (woodchuck). RNAcentral's name for it is "tRNA.Thr". Lineage: Eukaryota; Metazoa; Chordata; Mammalia; Rodentia; Sciuridae. The record is from RNAcentral.